AUUAAUUUACUUAUAAUUGCUCUCCCAACAAUCAUUUUCAAUUAUGACUUGAAUACUUCACAAAAUCUACAUAAAUCUUUACAAGAUAUAUUUUGUAGAAUGGUUAGUGCAUGUGCUUCAUAAGUCUAAUUAAAAGAACUAUAUUUUAUUAGCAUAUUUGACAUGUAAACAAAGUCAUUUUAACCACUAAUUGAGUUACUGAAGUAUUGGUCGGAAGCAAAUGCCACAACAUUGCUUUUAAAGAUGUAUGAGAAUAGUUACGUGAUUACCAUUGUCAGUAAUUGAUUAAUUUCCAUUCAUGAUCAAUUCCAAAAUCAUUAUUAGAACCUAAACCAAAACACACAUAAAAAAAAAACCAAAAUAACAUAAAUCUGAAUUGAAUCUAUCAUGAAAGAACCUCAAUUCUCCUAAUCUGUCACGAUAUGGGAUGUGGCAUAAUUCAGAUCAAUGCGCAUGAUGGUUAUAAUGCGGAGCGGGUUAAACCGCAUGAACCAAAUAAAGCCCGAUGACCUUCUUUGCCAUUUGCACACGAUAACUAUUGAUAUCAAGAACCAUCAAUCCAGGUUUCGAGAUCGCAAAGGACAUUGAGGACUACAAGCAACCCAAUAAAAAUGAAAACAUGUGAAAGUGGCUAGGGGCUAAGCCUUAGCCAGCAGAUAAAAGGAAGGACUAAGCCUUAGCCAACGGCUAUAAGUUAGCCAACCAUUUACAUGUGUAUUGGUUUGAAUGACUUUCUGGUGGAUCCUCAGUAGGUUUCAUCAUUUAUUUUGUCGAGCUAAGGCGACAGUGCUUAUUUGGUGUUGUCUGAUUGGAUGUAUGUAUAUGUAUAUAUAAAUACAUAUUCCUGAUUUUCUCAUUUGAUAAACAUGAUUUUUCACGUGUAUUGGUUUGAUUCGCUUUUUUAUGGACCCUUAGUACUUUUCAUCAUUUAUUUUGUCAGUUAAGA
RNAcentral lists this long non-coding RNA (946 nucleotides) under Helianthus annuus (common sunflower). The record is from RNAcentral. Lineage: Eukaryota; Viridiplantae; Streptophyta; Magnoliopsida; Asterales; Asteraceae.